AUAAAAGUCAGUGUUCUCUUUAUAUAUAUAUCUUUUACGCAAUAAACAAUCAAGCUAGCUGGACACAAGUUUCAUCGUGUGCAUACCAGUAGACACGAAGAUUUGUACAUCAUAUGCCACCUCCAUUGGGAAAAUAUCGGUUGCAAGUUUUCAAUUGACCUCAAACUUUCUCAUGCUCUCGUUGUCCAUACCUGACCCGAGCUGUAAGAAAGUGACUCACGCGAGCUGAACACCUUAUAACGAGCUAUUCCGGAUAAUGAAAUCUUGAAACGUCGGUAUGUGUGUUCGAAAUAAUGAUAAUCAUCUCUCUCGAGCAAAUAGUGUUUUCCACAGAAUAUAUUGAACGAUCAAUAUACUGAAGGAAAAUAGUUGUAGUCAAAGAUCAUAACUUAUGGCCAUAAUGAGAACAAAACGUUAGUAAAAAUAAUAAUAACGUAUUACUCAUAUUGAUGAGCGGACAAGUACUAAUUUAUAUAUAGACUCUUAUUAUAGUAAACAUGUAAUAGUAUACAGAUAAAUGCGAAUCGUGGUCUAGUGAAACGGAAGUACCUGAAAGGUCACAUUGGAGAACACAUAACGACCACACCGACUCCAAUGCAUAAAAUAAGUAACGAUAAUGAAGUUAAACGUGAAAAUUGGAUUUAUAUACAAGGAUUAUAUUUUAUCAAUUUUAAUUGUAUUAAAACAAUGCAACUUAAUAAGACUCUAUUAAUGUAUUAUAUGUUUCAUUAUA
Molecule: long non-coding RNA, 733 nt
Organism: Daktulosphaira vitifoliae (grape phylloxera)
Lineage: Eukaryota; Metazoa; Arthropoda; Insecta; Hemiptera; Phylloxeridae
Exons: 3
Source: RefSeq, a predicted model, not a curated record